This 1292-nucleotide ribosomal RNA is filed under the name Bruchidius siliquastri. RNAcentral's name for it is "16S ribosomal RNA". The stretch from base 1050 to 1209 matches the Rfam family "Archaeal large subunit ribosomal RNA", at positions 2542 to 2701 of the family's 2987-position model. The record is from RNAcentral. Lineage: Eukaryota; Metazoa; Arthropoda; Insecta; Coleoptera; Chrysomelidae.
AAUUAAAAUUUUAUUUAUUUUUUAUGUUUUGAUAUUUAUAAAAUAAGUAAAUUUAAUUUUUAUUAUUAUAUAAGAAAAAAUUUUUUUAAUUAUAGUUUAUUAGUAUUGUGAAAGAAUAUUUUUAAUUUUUAAAAAGAAUAAUUAAUUUUUUGUACCUUGUGUAUCAGGGUUUAUUAAAUAAUAUAAUUUAUUUUAUUAUCUCGAAUUUAAAAGAGUUAAAAAUUUAUUUUUUUUAUUGUUGAAUAAAUAUUAAAAAUAAAUUUUUUGUAAUGAAAUGUUAUUCGUUUUUAAAUAUAUCUAGUUUUUUAAGAAAAAAAUUAAAUUUUAAAUAUUAUAUUAAUAAAAUAUUAAAUAUGUAAUAUUUUAUUGAAAAUAUUAAAUAUUUUUAGGGAUAAGCUUAAAAAUAAAGAUUUAUUAAAUAAUUAAUAUAAAAUUAAUUUGUAGGAUUAGAAGUUUCUAUCAUUAAAAAAAUGUUAUAGUUUAUUUAUUAAUAGAUAUUAUUUAUUAAUUAAUUUAUAAAUUUUUUAUUAAAAUAUUAAUUUUAAUUAAAAAAAUUAAGGAAUAAUGAUAAAAUUAGUAUAGAAUUUAUUGUACGAAUAUUAUUAUAUUUAAGGUUUAAUAAAGGAAUUCGGCAAAUAUAUUUUUCACCUGUUUAAUAAAAACAUGGCCUAUUGAAAAUAGUUUUAGGUUUAGUCUGCCCUAUGAAAUUUUAAAUGGCCGCGGUAUUUUGACCGUGCUAAGGUAGCAUAAUCAUUAGUUUCUUAAUUAGAAGCUGGCAUGAAGGGCUGGAUGAAAAAAUUACUGUCUUUAUUAAAUUUUAAUAAAAAUUUAUUUUUUAGUAAAAAAGCUAAAAUAUUGAUAAAAGACGAGAAGACCCUAUAGAGUUUAAUAUGUAAUUAUUUUAAUAUUUAUUAGAAUAAAAAUUUUUAAUUUAUUAAUAUAUUUAAUUGGGGUGAUUAAAAAAUUAGAUAAACUUUUUUUAUAAAUAAAACAUUAAUUUAUGAAUUAUUGAUCCAUUAUUUAUGAUUAUAAGAUAAAAUUACCUUAGGGAUAACAGCGUAAUAUUUUCAGAGAGUUCUUAUCGAAGAAAAAGAUUGCGACCUCGAUGUUGGAUUAAAAUUAAUUCUUGGUGUAGAAGUUAAGAAUAUUAGGUCUGUUCGACCUUUAAAAUUUUACAUGAUCUGAGUUUAAACCGGCGUGAGCCAGGUUGGUUUCUAUCUUUAAUUAUUAUAAAUAUUUUAGUACGAAAGGAUUAAAUAUUUGAAAAAUUUUUUUAAUUUUGAAUAAUAUUA